This is a microRNA precursor of Gossypium raimondii (Peruvian cotton), 124 nucleotides long. It matches the Rfam family "MIR7504 microRNA precursor family". Lineage: Eukaryota; Viridiplantae; Streptophyta; Magnoliopsida; Malvales; Malvaceae. The record is from Rfam.
AAUGGGAGGAUGACAAAUCAGAUUUUUCCUCCUGAUUUUCAGCUUUUUCCUCCUGAAAAAAAAUCAAAUCCAACUAAAAAUGCUAAAAAUCAGGAGGAAAAAUCUGAUUUGUCAUCCUCCCAUU